UUUUGGCAAAAGAAGACCUUACGUCUUCAUUCGCCUCCCGUAGCUUUUUAGGGUUCAUCCUAUUGUUCAAUCUCCAACGACUUCUCUGACUCCAUGAAUGGAGGUUGGAGAGAUUUAGUGGCUCAAACCGAUGUAAUGAUGUGGUUCUCUCUCUCUCUGCUAUAAUUUUGUCUUUAAAUCGAUCAUUGCCUUCUUCUUCUUCUUCUUUCAGUUUAUCGGCAAAGCAUGAAGGGAGACGAUUCGAUCUUAGAUUUAAUGCCUCCAAGGAAGAAGCAUAAUAAAGGACCCAACAAGAAACGGAAGCUGAAGAAACUUGAGGAAGACAGGGAGAAAUAAGAGAUCCUCUCUGCAAAAACUUCCAAGUUGUUAAGACAAGUAUAAAAUAUCUCAGGAUGUGUCUUCGCUUUUCCAAUCUUCAAAAGCCAUAGUCUGAUAAGAAGCUGGAGAAACGCAUGAGACCAAUGCAACUACCUAAAGCUGGUGUUUUGUCUGAUGAACCAGUCAAGGAAAAUGACAACUCUGAUUCAUGUAUGGACGAGCCUACCACACCUGAAAUCCAUAUCCCGGCUCUUCAUACUGAUUCUCACCAACUUAUUCAUCCCAAUGAACUCGAUUCCAAAGUAAUGUUAAUCUCUGCUGAAGAGGUCCGUGAAGAAGAAUGGUUUAUGAAUUUUUUUUUAAAAAUUCGGCUAUGAUGUGUGUGUUUCGUUUGAUUGGUUAUUAUUUCUGGAAAACCGGUUGCUGUAAGACCACUCAAGUUCCUCAGCCACGUCGUGUUGCUGUCCUCGCCACUGCCGAGAGGGUGGCUCAUGAGCUUGGUGUUCACCUCAGUCAAGAAGUCGGUUUCCAAGUUAGGUGCGACAAAAAGAUUGGUGAGAACUCAGCUAUAAGUUUAUAAACGAUGGGAUAAAUCCGUGAAGUUAAGUGAUUGCAGGCAGCAUAGAUUUUAAAAGAUCUUUAAGCUACAGAGGCAUUCUUCAUACACCCACCAGUCACCCUCCAACUUAUUUGGCUUCCUAAUUCCAUGUAACAUUUAUGUUCAGUUGAUAUAAUAUAUCCCUCCUGGUAAUAAGAUCUAGGGGAGCAAUGGCCAUGUGGUUGACGGAAUGACGGUGAUCAGCAUGUCAAUACUAUGUAGAUGGUGAUUUUGCGGCGGCUACAACGUUGUUGGGAGUCAGAAAUAGUGCUGGGAAUAUGAAUUAUUAUCCGCGGGCCCCGCCCCAUUUGACCCGCUGCGGGGCGGGUGCGGGUCGAGUGAUUUGAAAAAUUUGGUUCGCGGAUGCAGGUGCGGGUUGAGUGAUUUUUAUGCGGGGCGGGUGCGGGUCAGCCAAAAUUCAGUGCGGGUACCCGCCAACCCGCAAAAACUAAAAAAAAAAGAUUUUUUUUUUAAAUAUUAUUUUUAAAUAGAAAUUUUUUAAAAAAUAAUUUAAUUUUAAUUAUAAAUAGAUUAAUAUUUAUUAUUUUUAAUAAAAAAUAUUUAAAAUAUUAAAUUUUAUUGUUAUUUUUAAUAAAAAAUAUUUAAAAUAUUAAAUUUUAUUGUUAUUUUAAUAAAAAAAUAUUUAAAUUAAUAAUUUUUAAUAUUAUUAAUAUUAUCCGCGGGUCUAGCGGAUCACCCGCGGGUUUUAGCGGGGCGGGUGCGGAUUUCAUAUUUUCUUCUUGCGGGUCAAGCGGGUCAAAUUUUUUGAAUAAAAAAAAUCAGUUUACCCGCGGGUUGGCGGGUCAGCGGGGCGGAUUUGACCCGCAACCCAGCUCUAGUCAGAAACGCGUGAUGUACAAGCUCGCUCUGGUUCCUCACAAACAGUCUCUUUUCUUCCUCUUCGCAACUCCAACCUUAGGGUGUCUCUCUGUAUGCACUGAUUUAGAUUUAGUCCUAAAGAAUACUUCGCAAGUUCAGAUUUAGUUAUUUACACCUAAAGAGGAUGUUCCGAAGAAACUUCUGGAUAUUUUUCUUUAUAAGCUGCUCCGAAUCAUCAGCCGUUAAGACUUCUCGCAACUGUUUUUAUACAGGUAAAUAUGAAUCUUGGUUUAAGUCUCCCUCAUUAAGUCAGCCGUCACAAUAAACGUAAAGAGAGUAGUAAUCAUAUACACAAAUCUGCAAUGGUUAUCAUCAGCAGCAUCAUUAGUGUCUUACAUGGCAACUUCCAAAGGUUUAUGUUACGUUCAGUAACUAUGUUACGGCUGAGAGAGCAGAGAUUCUGCUCUAUUGUUUGAAACAUUGUUACCUUGGAUUAUCUCAAUUGUAUAUGCGAGAUUCUGUAAAAUAAGGAUGUUAUUAGAGAGUUGUUGAAGAGCCGUUCAAGAGACUUCAAGGUUUAGCUUUUAACAUAGUUGCUUGGAAUGAUUCUGUUAUCUUUGUAGACAAAAUCAUGAGGCGUAGUGAAUAACCUUUUAUAGGUUUUCCACUUUACUUCUAUAUUUAUUUAUUUUCCUUCUGUUCUCAUCUAUCUCCUGUAAAUUCAUUUCAGAUCAACAUCAUUGUCAAAUCUAGAACUAAAGCAUUUACUUCAUUUUUCUUAA
Long non-coding RNA from Brassica napus (rape), 2517 nucleotides. RefSeq lists it as uncharacterized. The record is from RefSeq and is a predicted model, not a curated record. NCBI's taxonomy places the organism in Eukaryota, Viridiplantae, Streptophyta, Magnoliopsida, Brassicales, Brassicaceae. The transcript is spliced from 10 exons.